AACGCAAAUUGCGCCCGAGGUUUAGGCCAAGGGCAUGGCUGGCUCAGCGUCGACGCACCUCUCGCUCACAGGGUGGGCGGACUGUGGUUCCCCCGACUGCCGGCCGGGCGGACCGAAGGAGAAGGCCCUCGGAAGCCUUCGUGGCCCGCAGGCAGCGCGGUAGACCAGCUUAAUCGGCGGCCCUGCCGGGACUGCCGUCAAGCGGGAGCAAACUGGGGGGGCGGGAUCGGGGAUGGAGGGAUCAUGCAGCAGCACAUUUCGCCCGGGGCUCGGGCAAGAGCACCCGCCGAACUUAA
This 296-nucleotide unclassified non-coding RNA is filed under the name uncultured fungus. Its description in RNAcentral is "partial contains 5.8S rRNA and ITS2". Lineage: Eukaryota; Fungi. The record is from RNAcentral.